Molecule: long non-coding RNA, 2008 nt
Filed under: Gossypium barbadense (sea-island cotton)
Lineage: Eukaryota; Viridiplantae; Streptophyta; Magnoliopsida; Malvales; Malvaceae
Description: long non-coding RNA (GBAR_LNC021719)
Source: RNAcentral
UUGAGUCCACAACAUAUGCAAGAGCUCAGAACCUAAUCUUGUAUUCUCGAGUCUGCAACAUAUGCAGGAUCUUGAAACCUAUUCUUGUAUUCUUGGGUUCGCAACAUAUGUAGGAGCUCAGAACCAGGGCAAACUCACUAACCUACAUACGAGAAUUUACUAAUUUCAUCGGGAUACAUCUCAGAUUAUAACAUAGUUCAAUCCACCAACAACCAAUAUUAACAAUCUUAAUGUAAUAUAAAAACAUAAACGAAUAGAUUCAUAAUGUAUGAAUUUACUUGUCAAAAUGGUAACAGUUUAACUAUUAGAGACUAGCCGAAAAUUUUCCUUUUCAUCGUACGUCCUCCGAUUGUUGAGAUUCUUGAUCUAAAGUAUAAUUUAUUUAAUCAACCAAUCCAAAUAAUAUAUAACAGUAUAUAAAAAUCAUGUCCUAACUCAAUUUCAUCUAUACCAAAAUUCCUCAAGUUUUACAUUUCUCACAAUUUAGUCCCUAAACCAAAACUAUUAUAAUUUUCACAUUUGAGUUUCGAUUUUGAAAUCACUCUCAAUUUAAUUCUCCAACAGACCAUAUUAAGACAAAUUUUAGAAUUUUUUGUAUGUAUUUUGGUCUUACUGCAUUUUAGUCUCUAAUUUCAAAAUUAACAACUUUUACUUUACAAAUUAGUCCAUUAACAUAUCUAAGCUUCAAAACUAACCAAAUAACCACAAAAGUUUCAAGAAAAAAAUCAAUGGCAACUUUCACAAGCUUUAACAAUUUCACAAAAUAGUCCAUGAGCUAGCGAAAUCAAGCUCUCGGGAUUCCAAAAUCAUAAAAAUUACAAGAAAUAGACCAAAGUUCACUUUACCAAUUUAAGCUUUUAAGUUAGACGAGAGCUAGGGAUUGUUUCUCUCUACCUAUUCAGAUUUAAGGUUGAAGAUGACAACUAAAACUUUGUUUUUCUUUCUUUAUCUUUUUGUUUAAACAAAUUUUAUUAUGUUUUAAUUGAAUAACAUAUAAUGAAAAAUAUUUACAACACCAAUCAUCCAAACACUAUUAAAAAUGGUAUAUUUAUCAUUUAAACCCCUUAGCAACCCUUAAUUAUGUUUUUUAGUUAAUAGAAAUCAAUAAAGAUCAAUUUUUAUGUCUUUUACGAUUUAAUCCUUUUUCCUUAAUUAACUAGACAAACGACGAAAUUACCAGACCAAAACUUAAUACUACAUUUAAAUAACUUUGUAGAUAUUAAUAAAUAAUAUUUACGAACUCACACGUCAAAAUUGUGGUCCUGAAUCCAUUAUUUCUGAUGCCAAUGAAAACAGGCUAUUACAAUUUAGAUGCAAGUUUCAUUUUAUCCAAUAAAAACUAAUCUGUUAUGCUUUCUGGCCAUAUGCGGAUUAACUUUUAAUUCAAUUUCUAAUUUUUUUUUAUGAAUUUCCAAAGUUACUUUACUACUAUUGUCCCUAAACUAUUUUAGUGAGGUUGGUUAUAUCCAAAUUGCCCAAGAGACACAUCAAACACAUUUUCCUCAUUCACAUUUCAUAUUUAUUCACAUAUACCAAAUUAUAUUCAUUAGUCAUUCCAUGUCAACCAAACUUUUGUAUCACAUUAUUAGUUCAUACAAACCUUAUGAUAAAGGCUUACUAAUUCACCAAUUUUGGAAGCCACUUAUUUCGAACACUUUAAGUCAUGGAACUCAUACAUUUUCAUUACAUAAUAAAUUUGAUGCUUAUUAAACUAUUUUCAUAAUAGUCACACAAAUUCAUUAUUUUUCCUAAACAUUUUAGUGUAGGAAAAGUAAGAGUAUCCAAGGGAACUUGCCUCUUCAAUGAAUAGUAUUAAAAUCCAAGCUCCCCACUUAGAUCCAACCUCAACCAAGAUUGAAACUCCAUUUCUCAAUAUUUCCUCAUUUCCAUACACAUAAAAUUCAACCAAAAUUAACACAAGAUUUUUCUAAGAUUUCACAUGGUAAGCAAUAUCUAAUAACAAGCUAAAAGGGUUAGAAACACCAUUUUUUACCUCAUUGAAGCUUUC